UCUGAGUGUCAGUGGCUAAUCUCUAACGUUCGGUAGUGGGAUUGAUCCUUUGACUUGAGGUCGUCAUAGUACCCUAUAUGAGGACAGUCAUACUUUGGCGGUGUUGGAUGUUGCUCUGAAAGGGGCCGCUAAUACGACAUCGUUCGGGUACGUCAAGAAUCGUAUGAAGGUUGUGAUUGAUCAAUAAAGGAUUCGUCACUCUUAGAUAGUAGGAGAUAAUCUGCGUUUCAUUCAAUUAAGUCGAUGAUGAAAUCCUUGGCCAAGGUGUACUCAUAAGUCGAAAAGGAGUUUUCGAUUUAUAUUGAC
RNAcentral lists this long non-coding RNA (306 nucleotides) under Olea europaea (common olive). RNAcentral's name for it is "long non-coding RNA (OEUR_LNC012850)". Lineage: Eukaryota; Viridiplantae; Streptophyta; Magnoliopsida; Lamiales; Oleaceae. The record is from RNAcentral.